Molecule: ribosomal RNA, 603 nt
Filed under: uncultured bacterium
Lineage: Bacteria
Description: bacterial SSU rRNA
Rfam family: Bacterial small subunit ribosomal RNA
Source: RNAcentral
AGCUCGNUAAGCUGUAACUGACGCUGAGGCACGAAAGCUUGGAUAGCAAACAGGAUUAGAUACCCUGGUAGUCCAGGCUGUAAACGAUGAACACUCGCUGUUGGCAAUACAGAGUCAGCGGCUGAGCGAAAGCGUUAAGUGUUCCACCUGGGAAGUACGAUCGCAAGGUUGAAACUCAAAGGAAUUGACGGGGGCCCGCACAAGCGGAGGAGCAUGUGGUUUAAUUCGAUGAUACGCGAGGAACCUUACCUGGGCUUAAAUGCAUAACGACGUAUGGUGAAAGCCAUAUUUCUUCGGACGUUUUGCAAGGUGCUGCAUGGUUGUCGUCAGCUCGUGCCGUGAGGUGUCGGGUUAAGUCCCAUAACGAGCGCAACCCCUACUUCUAGUUACCAGCAUUACGGAUGGGGACUCUAGAGGAACUGCCUACGCAAGUAGAGAGGAAGGUGGGGAUGACGUCAAAUCAGCACGGCCCUUAUGUCCAGGGCUACACACGUGCUACAAUGGGCGGUACAGAGGGCAGCUACACAGCGAUGUGGUGCUAAUCUCGAAAGCCGUUCACAGUCCGGAUUAGAGUCUGCAACUCGACUCUAUGAAGCUGGAUUG